Clarias gariepinus (North African catfish) is the source of this 523-nucleotide long non-coding RNA. RefSeq lists it as uncharacterized. The transcript is spliced from 3 exons. NCBI's taxonomy places the organism in Eukaryota, Metazoa, Chordata, Actinopteri, Siluriformes, Clariidae. The record is from RefSeq and is a predicted model, not a curated record.
AAAUCUUUCAAGCAUACCUUGUGAUUCAGGAUGGAAGGCACUUGAAAGCUGGUGCUUAACAGCUAGUUCACGAAGCACCUGAGUAAAAAGCUUAGAGCUUUUAUACUGCGCAACGGGAUGGCUUCCGGAAAACGAGUGGUAGCACACAUAAGAGGAUUGGAUGUAAAGGGGCAAGAGGAAUGACCUGAUUUGGUUUACCCGUCAGCUGACAAACAUGGCAUGACCGGCAGUGAGCACUAACAUCAGCUUUUAAACCAGGCCAAAAAAACGAUCUUAAAAUACGAUCAUAGGUCUUUCUAAUCCCUAAAUGGCCAGAUAGAACAUGGUCAUGAGCAAGUUUUAAUAUUUGUGAACGAUAAUUCAACGGAACAACAAUUUGUUGAACACUAUCAACAUUUUUCCACUGUCUCAUCAACACAUCGUUAUCAAGAUAAAACAUCACAUUUUCAUUAGGAACCACUAGCUUAUCAGAAAUAGCUUUAAAACAUUUAACCAAUGUUGAAUCAGCCUUCUGCGCCGCCGC